This 465-nucleotide long non-coding RNA is filed under the name Ictidomys tridecemlineatus (thirteen-lined ground squirrel). RNAcentral's name for it is "lncRNA (ENSSTOG00000034606.1)". The record is from RNAcentral. Lineage: Eukaryota; Metazoa; Chordata; Mammalia; Rodentia; Sciuridae.
CUAAAACCCACCAUUCUCCACCUCCCCUAGCUGUUACAAAUCCCUCUGCUCAUAGCUCCAUCUCUUUGAAAUAGAAAAGGUCUCAGGAACCAUCUGGUUCCGUGCGUCCUUAACGCUGAGGCCCCUCGCCUGCAGCUGGAGGCAGCUCUCUGCUCAGGCUGCAGUGCAGAGUGACACAGGCGAGCGACAUCGUCACUGAGCACUAACUUCUGUGACAGGAGGCAGACAGUGAAAAUCAUUUCAGAACCGCGGCACGGCGUGAGACAGGCGAAGGAGCUCAACCUCAUCAGCAUCUUUCCUUCAGGCAAACUGACAAUACAGGAUCUAGUCAAUGACUCAAGUGGAUUCAACUAUCGAAGAGAAGCUGGAGAACCAGGCUCCACCAACGAGUGGGAAUCAAGCAAGACCAAGCAGAUGAGACACAGCUAUGGUCACAGCAUGGCACAAGCCUGGUUUAGGACAUGA